GACGAACGCUGGCGGCGUGCUUAACAUAUGCAAGUGGAGCGACGAACCGGGGCUUGCCCCGGGGCAGAGCCGCGAACGGGUGAGUAACACGUGGGUAACCUGCCUCAAUGAUUGGGACAACCCGGGGAAACUCGGGCUAAUACCAAAUGUGUUCACUCCUUCUAAGGGGAGUGAGGAAAGGAAGCUUCGGCCUCCGCAUUGAGAUGGGGCCCGCGGCCCAUUAGCUUGUUGGUGAGGUAACGGCUCACCAAGGCUUCGAUGGGUAGCUGGUCUGAGAGGACGAUCAGCCACACUGGGACUGAGACACGGCCCAGACUCCUACGGGAGGCAGCAGUGGGAAUCUUGCACAAUGCGCGAAAGCGUGAUGCAGCAACGCCGC
RNAcentral lists this ribosomal RNA (379 nucleotides) under uncultured bacterium. RNAcentral describes it as "bacterial SSU rRNA". It matches the Rfam family "Bacterial small subunit ribosomal RNA", at positions 28 to 400 of the family's 1533-position model. The record is from RNAcentral.